Molecule: ribosomal RNA, 406 nt
Filed under: uncultured bacterium
Lineage: Bacteria
Description: partial 16S ribosomal RNA
Rfam family: Bacterial small subunit ribosomal RNA
Source: RNAcentral
AUUGAACGCUGGCGGCAGGCCUAACACAUGCAAGUCGAGCGAGCGGCGGACGGGUGAGUAAUGUCUGGGGAACUGCCCGAUGGAGGGGGAUAACUACUGGAAACGGUAGCUAAUACCGCAUACCAUCGGAUGUGCCCAUAUGGGAUUAGCUAGUAGGUGGGGUAACGGCUCACCUAGGCGACGAUCCCUAGCUGGUCUGAGAGGAUGAUCAGCCACACUGGAACUGAGACACGGUCCAGACUCCUACGGGAGGCAGCAGUGGGGAAUAUUGCACAAUGGGCGCAAGCCUGAUGCAGCCAUGCCGCGUGUAUGAAGAAGGCCUUAGGGUUGUAAAGCACUUUCAGCGGGGAGGCGUUACCCGCAGAAGAAGCACCGGCUAACUCCGUGCCAGCAGCCGCGGUAAUUC